This 497-nucleotide ribosomal RNA is filed under the name uncultured bacterium. RNAcentral's name for it is "partial 16S ribosomal RNA". It matches the Rfam family "Bacterial small subunit ribosomal RNA", at positions 28 to 507 of the family's 1533-position model. The record is from RNAcentral.
GAUGAACGCUGGCGGCGUGCCUAAUACAUGCAAGUCGAGCGAACAGAUGAGGAGCUUGCUCCUCUGACGUUAGCGGCGGACGGGUGAGUAACACGUGGAUAACCUACCUAUAAGACUGGGAUAACUUCGGGAAACCGGAGCUAAUACCGGAUAAUAUUUUGAACCGCAUGGUUCAAAAGUGAAAGACGGUCUUGCUGUCACGUAUAGAUGGAUCCGCGCUGCAUUAGCUAGUUGGUAAGGUAACGGCUUACCAAGGCAACGAUGCAUAGCCGACCUGAGAGGGUGAUCGGCCACACUGGUACUGAGACACGGUCCAGACUCCUACGGGAGGCAGCAGUAGGGAAUCUUCCGCAAUGGGCGAAAGCCUGACGGUACAACGCCGCGUGAGUGAUGAAGGUCUUCGGAUCGUAAAACUCUGUUAUUAGGGAAGAACAUAUGUGUAAGUAACUGUGCACAUCUUGACGGUACCUAAUCAGAAAGCCACGGCUAACUACGUG